This 394-nucleotide ribosomal RNA is filed under the name uncultured bacterium. Its description in RNAcentral is "partial 16S ribosomal RNA". It matches the Rfam family "Bacterial small subunit ribosomal RNA", at positions 338 to 729 of the family's 1533-position model. The record is from RNAcentral.
CCUACGGGCGGCAGCAGUGAGGAAUAUUGGUCAAUGGCCGAGAGUCUGAACCAGCCAAGUCGCGUGAGGGAAGACGGCCCUACGGGUUGUAAACCUCUUUUGUCGGGGAGCAAAGCGAGCCACGUGUGCUUCAUUGCGUGUACCCUAAGAAAAAGCAUCGGCUAACUCCGUGCCAGCAGCCGCGGUAAUACGGAGGAUGCGAGCGUUAUCCGGAUUUAUUGGGUUUAAAGGGUGCGUAGGCGGGUGUGCAAGUCAGCUGUGAAAUUUUGGGGCUCAACCCCAUAAUUGCAGUGGAAACUGACACUCUGGAGGACGGGUGAGGUGGGCGGAAGGCGUGGUGUAGCGGUGAAAUGCUUAGAUAUCACGAAGAACCCCGAGUGCGAAGGCAGCAUAC